UAACGAAUCUUCCGCAAUGCACGAAAGUGUGACGGAGCGACGCCGCGUGCUGGAUGAAGUCCUUCGGGAUGUAAACAGCUGUCAAGGGUAAGAAAGUUCUGAUCUAUCCGAGAGGAAGUGGCGACUAACUCUGUGCCAGCAGUCGCGGUAAUACAGAGGCCACAAGCGUUAGGCGGAAUCACUGGGCUUAAAGCGUGUGUAGGCGGAUAUCUAAGUACCUUGUGAAAUCCCACGGCUCAACCGUGGAACU
Molecule: ribosomal RNA, 250 nt
Filed under: uncultured bacterium
Lineage: Bacteria
Description: partial 16S ribosomal RNA
Rfam family: Bacterial small subunit ribosomal RNA
Source: RNAcentral